This is a long non-coding RNA of Dermacentor andersoni, 323 nucleotides long. RefSeq lists it as uncharacterized. Lineage: Eukaryota; Metazoa; Arthropoda; Arachnida; Ixodida; Ixodidae. The record is from RefSeq and is a predicted model, not a curated record.
GUUCAGCAUAAAAGAGCUCAGCGCAGAAAGUCGUCUCGUAGUGUUGACAUCUCGUCACGCCGAAAAACGAAGGAUUCUUCUAUAUAAUCAUAAAAGGCGCUCUGAUCAAAGCCCGGAAACAUGCUCGUGAAAGGACUGUGUGUUGUCUGGGUUUUGUGGCUUUUGCAUACGGAGGUGACAAGUUACGGCCGCGUCAAAUUUGUAAGCAUUAAGGUCAACACCAGUGGCCGGAACUGUGUAUAUGAGGACCAAAAUUUUACUGACGAAGUGGAUAUGAACGACACCUGUCGAAAGCUAACAUGCUAUCCACAUGACAACGAAGU